RNAcentral lists this long non-coding RNA (265 nucleotides) under Ananas comosus (pineapple). RNAcentral describes it as "long non-coding RNA (ACOM_LNC015086)". Lineage: Eukaryota; Viridiplantae; Streptophyta; Magnoliopsida; Poales; Bromeliaceae. The record is from RNAcentral.
UAGAGUCUGUAUUAAGGUUGUAAAAAAUGUAAUUUUCUUUUAUUGGAUCAAUCAUGCAGGAGAUUGUCGUUUGGUGAUUGCGAUGAUCUUCUUUUUAUUGUUUCUGAGUUGUGUAUGAGCUUUGUAGUAUAUUUUGUCACGAAAUCGCCAAAGGGGGAGAUUGUUAAGGAUUUUAUAGGUUGGCGAAUUUAGUAAAGUUGAAUGGAGUCUUGAAGAGUUGAUUGCGGAAGUUUGAAGAAAAGAUCCAAAUUGAAGAACAAAGACU